GACGUCGUGCCCGAGUGGUUAAGGGGAGUGAUUAGAAUGAGUCUUGAACUUAAUUCAUCACUUACGUUAUGCGUGCGCAAGUUCGAGUCUUGUCGACGUCG
This is a non-coding RNA of Terfezia boudieri ATCC MYA-4762, 101 nucleotides long. Lineage: Eukaryota; Fungi; Ascomycota; Pezizomycetes; Pezizales; Pezizaceae. The record is from the annotation of a GenBank genome assembly.